This 496-nucleotide ribosomal RNA is filed under the name uncultured bacterium. RNAcentral's name for it is "partial 16S ribosomal RNA". It matches the Rfam family "Bacterial small subunit ribosomal RNA", at positions 28 to 507 of the family's 1533-position model. The record is from RNAcentral.
GAUGAACGCUGGCGGCGUGCCUAAUACAUGCAAGUCGAGCGAACAGACGAGGAGCUUGCUCCUCUGACGUUAGCGGCGGACGGGUGAGUAACACGUGGAUAACCUACCUAUAAGACUGGGAUAACUUCGGGAAACCGGAGCUAAUACCGGAUAAUAUAUUGAACCGCAUGGUUCAAUAGUGAAAGACGGUUUUGCUGUCACUUAUAGAUGGAUCCGCGCCGCAUUAGCUAGUUGGUAAGGUAACGGCUUACCAAGGCACCGAUGCGUAGCCGACCUGAGAGGUGAACGGCCACACUGGAACCGAGAAAACGGUCAAACCCCCAAGGGAGGCAGGAGUAGGGAAUCUUCCCGAAUGGGCGGAAGCCUUACCGAGCAACCGCGGGGGAGGUAAUAAGGGCUUCCGGUUGGAAAAACCUUUUAUUUGGGAAGAAAAAAAGGUGAAGUAACCUAGGACGGUCUGACGGUACCCAAAUAAAAAGCCACGGCUAACUACGUG